UACAAAACAUGUUAAAAGGUCACACCAAACUUAUUUCUCAUCAUUUUUAAGGCAAAGGAAACGAGUCCCUUAGUACAUCACCACCAGACCACACAACCAGCCUGAAAGAUGACCACAAAGUAGACACCCACAUCAUGACUGGGGCAGUCCUUGCAGUGAUAGUCUGUGUGUUCCUGGUGGCAGCUGUCAUUCUCUUCACACAGAGGAGAGCCAUACGCUUCCUGGAAACCCACUGUUGGGAACGGACCUACAGGCACAGAACAGGAGCAGGAGAACCAGCAGGUCUACUCCACAGCACAGCUCCCUGGGCCUCUGUCCACACCAGAGUCCUGUGGGGUCUACUCUCUGGCAGCCAGCCCCCUGAGCUGAGUACGCACUUGCUUAGAGAUCGCGGCCAGUUCACAAAAUGACCACAAGAGGAAGAUCCGCAAUAGACCGGGCUGCGGUGACAGGGUCCAGACUGAAGUACUGAAGCACAGUUGCCCGGUCAGCAGCCUAAAACACCAGCCAUUACCAGCUGAUACCAUCUGGUGGAGAUUGUAAAUGCAAGAAACUUAAAUUGGACAUCAGCGAGACUCCCCGCCCCGUCUGACCUGAAGUUCUGUGCUUUAAUAUACGGAUGGCAUGUGAAUGUGUAAGCUGCGGUGUGCAGAGUGUUAGGAAUUGAGAUUUCAAUUUCUUGGAAGAAAGCUUGUAACUAUAGAAAUCUCAAACACCUGUAACCAAGUAACACUGGAAAUCAUAGCGAUUCUUUAGCAAACCACAGUCACAGCGGUAAUAAGGGCAGGAAAACCGUCUUGUAUAUUUAACCCCACAUCAGUGGUUUUCAAAGCUUCCACAUAUACUGGUGCUGAUAAAACAGCAAUCUUCAGAAUGAAAGAAAAGGGAGUUAUGUCAAAACCCUUCGAUCUUUUUUACAUUAAAGGUUAAUGACUUUUUUCUCUCGGUCAUAAAACUGUGAAAGCAGCUUCUGCACUUGGAUGACCACAGUCACAGCGGUAAUAAGCAUGAGUUGAUCAGCACCCAUACCAACACCCAGAUACAAUAUGUUGGAAAUCAAUGUGAAUCCUUCUACGUGGAGUUUGCAUGUUUUCUUUCUGUUCACAAUGGUUUUCACUUGAUGCUCCUUUUUCCUCUCCCCACCCCCCAAUUAAUCACUGAGAUUAAAUGUCUUUGGGCUUGUGUGUAUGCACCAAGGUUACAAUGACACCCUAAUCACGUAGUAGUCUCACCUUGUGCCCUGUGCGUCCAGGAUAGGUUUUAGUUAGCUGCAGUCUCAGCAGGAAUAAAUGGCUUUCUAAUAUUGUGUAAAUAAAACCCAACUGUGUGACCACAACGGACCAUCAUGCCAUAGAAAGUCACUAUUAGCAUCAACCAUCUGUCUGUUAAAUGCCUGUGUUAGGAGAGAAUUAGCCACUGGGUCAAUGUACAGUAGCAAGUAGCAAGUGCUGUGCUAACAGUUCAUGUGCUUUUGUCCACUCCCAACUUGCGUAUAAAAAAUAUCUAAAAUAUAUGUACAAGUUUUGUUUUUGUAAAGUGAAACACAUCAGUUUUUCACGAAAAAUUAAAAGCAUUCUUGCAAACAGUGCAGA
Lepisosteus oculatus (spotted gar) is the source of this 1592-nucleotide long non-coding RNA. NCBI's taxonomy places the organism in Eukaryota, Metazoa, Chordata, Actinopteri, Semionotiformes, Lepisosteidae. The record is from Ensembl.